GCAUGUCUAAGUAUAAAUAGUAUACAGUGAAACUGCGAAUGGCUCAUUAAAACAGUUAUAGUUUAUUUGAUAGUGCAAAUUACAUGGAUAACCGUGGUAAUUCUAGAGCUAAUACAUGCGCAAAUACCGGACGCAAGAAUGGUAGCAUUUAUUAGAUUUAACCAUCACAUGGUGAAUCAUAGUAACUUAGCUGACCGCGUGUAUACGUGGUAAAUCAUUCAAGUUUCUGCCCUAUCAGCUUUCGAUGGUAGUGUAUUGGACUACCAUGGCAGUCACGGGUAACGGAGAAUUAGGGUUCGAUUCCGGAGAGGGAGCCUGAGAAACGGCUACCACAUCUAAGGAAGGCAGCAGGCGCGUAAAUUACCCAAUCCCGAUUCGGGGAGGUAGUGACAAGAAAUAGCAACUCGUGCGGGUUUCCGUUACGGGAUUGCAAUGAGAUAAGUCCAAAUCCGUAAACGAUUAACAAUUGGAGGGCAAGUCUGGUGCCAGCAGCCGCGGUAAUUCCAGCUCCAAUAGCGUAUACUUAAGUUGUUGCAGUUAAAAAGCUCGUAGUUGAAAUUCGAGUCAGUUACUAGUUGGCUUUUCGUCAGUUAGUUAAUUGAUUCUCCGUCUACAAUCCCUUUUGCGCUUUAGGGUUGCAGCUGGGCGAGUAGACAAUUUACCUUGAAAAAAUUAGAGUGUUCCAGGCAGGUCUUCGCCGGAAUACAUUAGCAUGGAAUAAUGGAAUAGGACUUGGGUCUUUUGUUGGUUUUAGGACUUGAGUAAUGAUUAAUAGGGACAGAUGGGGGCAUUAGUAUUUAAUUGUCAGAGGUGAAAUUCUUGGAUUUAUUAAAGACUAACUUAUGCGAAAGCAUUUGCCAAGGAUGUUUUCAUUAAUCAAGAACGAAAGUUAGGGGAUCAAAGACGAUCAGAUACCGUCGUAGUCUUAACUAUAAACUAUACCGACUCGAGAUCGGAAGGGUAAUAUAUUAGUCCCUUUCGGCAUCGUAAGAGAAAUCAAAGUCUUUGGGUUCUGGGGGGAGUAUGGUCGCAAGGCUGAAACUUAAAGGAAUUGACGGAAGGGCACCACCAGGAGUGGAGCCUGCGGCUUAAUUUGACUCAACACGGGGAAACUUACCAGGUCAAAACAUGGAUGGGAUUGACAGAUUGAAAGCUCUUUCUUGAUUCUAUGGGUGGUGGUGCAUGGCCGUUCUUAGUUGGUGGAGUGAUUUGUCUGGUUAAUUCCGAUAACGAACGAGACCUUAACCUGCUAACUAGUUUGCUUCUGAAUAAGAGGUAUAACUUCUUAGAGGGACUAUGUAUGUAAGUGCAUGGAAGUUUAAGGCAAUAACAGGUCUGUGAUGCCCCUAGACGUCCUGGGCCGCACGCGCGCUACACUGACACGUUCAGCGAGCUCAUUUACCUGUCCCGAAAGGGCACGGGAAAUCUUGUUAGGACGUGUCGUGCUGGGGAUAGAUCUUUGCAAUUAUAGAUCUUGAACGAGGAAUUCCUUGUAAGCACAGGUCAUCAGCCUGUGCUGAAUACGUCCCUGCCCUUUGUACACACCGCCCGUCGCUCCUACCGAUUUCGAGUGAUGUGGUGAACUAUCUGGACUGCGGAUGGGCUCGAACCAUUUGCGGGAAGUUUCGUAAACCUUAUCACUUAGAGGA
This 1649-nucleotide ribosomal RNA is filed under the name Paramecium primaurelia. RNAcentral's name for it is "SSU rRNA". It matches the Rfam family "Eukaryotic small subunit ribosomal RNA". Lineage: Eukaryota; Ciliophora; Oligohymenophorea; Peniculida; Parameciidae. The record is from RNAcentral.